This 556-nucleotide ribosomal RNA is filed under the name Arthrobacter methylotrophus. RNAcentral describes it as "bacterial SSU rRNA". It matches the Rfam family "Bacterial small subunit ribosomal RNA", at positions 79 to 649 of the family's 1533-position model. Lineage: Bacteria; Bacillati; Actinomycetota; Actinomycetes; Micrococcales; Micrococcaceae. The record is from RNAcentral.
GUUGCAUCGGGGAUAGUGGCGAACGGGUGAGUAACACGUGAGUAACCUGCCCUUGACUCUGGGAUAAGCCUGGGAAACUGGGUCUAAUACCGGAUACGACCGAUCACCGCAUGGUGUGUUGGUGGAAAGCUUUUGCGGUUUUGGAUGGACUCGCGGCCUAUCAGCUUGUUGGUGGGGUAAUGGCCUACCAAGGCGACGACGGGUAGCCGGCCUGAGAGGGUGACCGGCCACACUGGGACUGAGACACGGCCCAGACUCCUACGGGAGGCAGCAGUGGGGAAUAUUGCACAAUGGGCGAAAGCCUGAUGCAGCGACGCCGCGUGAGGGAUGACGGCCUUCGGGUUGUAAACCUCUUUCAGUAGGGAAGAAGCGAAAGUGACGGUACCUGCAGAAGAAGCGCCGGCUAACUACGUGCCAGCAGCCGCGGUAAUACGUAGGGCGCAAGCGUUAUCCGGAAUUAUUGGGCGUAAAGAGCUCGUAGGCGGUUUGUCGCGUCUGCUGUGAAAGACCGGGGGCUCACUCCGGUUCUGCAGUGGGUACGGGCAGACUAGAGUGA